Molecule: transfer RNA, 72 nt
Filed under: Nannocystis pusilla
Lineage: Bacteria; Pseudomonadati; Myxococcota; Nannocystales; Nannocystaceae
Also listed under: 3 other names
Description: tRNA-Ala
Rfam family: tRNA
About the family: Transfer RNA (tRNA) molecules are approximately 80 nucleotides in length.
Source: RNAcentral
GGGGCUGUGGCUCAGUGGGAGAGCGCCUGCUUCGCACGCAGGAGGUCGUCGGUUCGAGUCCGACCUGCUCCA